RNAcentral lists this ribosomal RNA (253 nucleotides) under uncultured bacterium. Its description in RNAcentral is "partial 16S ribosomal RNA". It matches the Rfam family "Bacterial small subunit ribosomal RNA", at positions 524 to 776 of the family's 1533-position model. The record is from RNAcentral.
UACGAAGGGGGCUAGCGUUGCUCGGAAUCACUGGGCGUAAAGGGUGCGUAGGCGGGUCUUUAAGUCAGGGGUGAAAUCCUGGAGCUCAACUCCAGAACUGCCUUUGAUACUGAGGAUCUUGAGUACGGGAGAGGUGAGUGGAACUGCGAGUGUAGAGGUGAAAUUCGUAGAUAUUCGCAAGAACACCAGUGGCGAAGGCGGCCCCCUGGUUGGAUACUGACGCUGAGACGCGAAAGCGUGGGGAGCAAACAGG